RNAcentral lists this ribosomal RNA (376 nucleotides) under uncultured bacterium. RNAcentral describes it as "bacterial SSU rRNA". It matches the Rfam family "Bacterial small subunit ribosomal RNA", at positions 521 to 896 of the family's 1533-position model. The record is from RNAcentral.
UAACACGGGGGGAGCAAGCGUUGUUCGGAAUUAUUGGGCGUAAAGAGCUCGUAGGCGGCUUCGUAAGUCAGAGGUGAAAUCUGAUGGCUCAACCAUCAACCCGCCUUUGAAACUACGGAACUUGAGUUCAGGAGAGGAAAGUGGAAUUCCUGGUGUAGCGGCGAAAUGCGUAGAUAUCAGGAGGAACACCGGUGGCGAAGGCGACUUUCUAGCCUGAAACUGACGCUGAGGAGCGAAAGCCAGGGGAGCGAACGGGAUUAGAUACCCCGGUAGUCCUGGCCGUAAACGAUGGGCACUAGGUGUGGGAGGAUCGACCCCUUCCGUGCCGCAGUUAACGCAUUAAGUGCCCCGCCUGGGGAGUACGACCGCAAGGUUG